RNAcentral lists this long non-coding RNA (1682 nucleotides) under Lytechinus variegatus (green sea urchin). Its description in RNAcentral is "uncharacterized LOC121428623". The record is from RNAcentral. Lineage: Eukaryota; Metazoa; Echinodermata; Echinoidea; Temnopleuroida; Toxopneustidae.
ACAGGGCUCUCCGACCAUUUGAGACGUUUAAAUCACAUCGUCUGAAAACAGACUAUCUCCAACUAACUUGCCAACAUGUAUCAUAAAACAACAACAGUGGCUCUAGCUGUUCUACUCAUUGCCUUAGUUUCAUUCUCAGAUGCUACAAAUUACUGGAGAAUCGCAAAAGGCAGAAACGCUCGAUACACAGCCAGAUCACCAAGGCUCUACGACUCACUGAAGAACACACAGGUUAAAAGGUAUGGUGGUAUUGACGAUGUGGAAGCGGCGGAGAAUACCAUUGAUAAUUGGCUAAGGGAUUGGAUCAUCUCAAACAGGAAUUUCAUCAGAGGCACUAUUUUUGACGACACCUUCACAAAUGAAGUAUAAAGCCUUUCAAUCUCCCGCAUUUUCUUUUUCUUGAGUUCUGAGACCAACCAGUCUAUGCCUGUUUUCCCAAAUGCCACCGUGGUUCACGACGCUCCCUUUUUUUCUCAAAGAUGAAGGGCGACCCCAUCACACCAUAUAUACAUGUAGUUCAUCACUUCUUCCAACGCCAGGAAAUAUUACAUUACUAUUACCUUACAUUUGCAUCACACAUAUUUUGUAUUCAUGGUUAGUAGUUGCAUUUUACAGAAUAAAUUAUCUUUUUAAAAACAUGUGCUCACUCAAAUACUGUAAUUUGAAACAUGCAUGAUUUAGCGCAAAGUAAUAAUCUUUUUAUCAACUAUAAUUUUAUUUAAAAGAUGUAUACUGACAAUCCCGAUUCGUUAAAAAAUAUUUUUUUUUGUCAUUGCAAUGUAAUUUUACUUAUACAUGGUUUGGGUACUGAAGACCAACGCCUUUGUCUAUAACAUUUUUUUUAUAUCAAUGAUCGUUUAUUUACCGGUUUUGAUAAUUUUUAUUUUCCGUAUGAACUAUAUUUAAAAGAAAAUCGACUGUUUAUAUUAAAGGCGAUCAUCCUAUCUUUCAACUCAUAUGUUCAAUUACGUUCAAAUAUUUACUCUAAAGCUAUUACAAACCACCAGUCUGUGAUGGGCUUAGUAAUAUAAUUUGAAGCUUUCCAGAGACCAAGCUUAUGAAUUUGAAAUUAUGUGUUGUGAUUAGAUAAUACCAUAAAAACGUUCAGCUACGACAUUGGGUAAUAUUCUAAGGUAUGAAGGUGGAACUUAUUAAGACAUUAAUCCACUGAUGCAUUUGAUUGUACUCAUAAGUGUCAUAGUAUGCAUGUUAUCGCAGCCCUAUAAGCUACCCCUGUAGCGCGAAAUGUUGAUUGGAUAAGAAAGAUUGCACAUUUAUGAUUGGGAGUGUGGCUGUUCUGUUGAGUAAGUAUAGCCUACCAUUACCUCUGAUUACAUUUUAUAUAUUACAAUUAAAACACAACUUCAUCUGAAUGAAUUUUGGAAUUUACAAUCGAUGCGUUAAAGAUCGAAACAUAUAGGUAAAACUUAUUUGGAGAAUGCGUAGUUUGAAUAUUCAUAGGACAAUAAAGAAAUUGUAGAAAAGGGUAAUAUCAUUCUCAGAUCGAAUGAUGGGGAUAGGUAUCAGCCUCAGUGAACAGGGGAUUUGUUUAUUUUUAUUUUGUUUAAUAUAAUAUUUUAGAAACUCUCGCUCUCAACCUAUAAUAAAUACAGUCAUUCAAAAUAAAAUCCAUAGUGUCUUAAAUCAUUCUAAAUCAUAAUCAGUCCUAUCAGCCGGUGGGA